RNAcentral lists this ribosomal RNA (253 nucleotides) under uncultured Flavobacterium sp. RNAcentral's name for it is "partial 16S ribosomal RNA". It matches the Rfam family "Bacterial small subunit ribosomal RNA", at positions 524 to 776 of the family's 1533-position model. The record is from RNAcentral. Lineage: Bacteria; Pseudomonadati; Bacteroidota; Flavobacteriia; Flavobacteriales; Flavobacteriaceae.
UACGGAGGAUCCAAGCGUUAUCCGGAAUCAUUGGGUUUAAAGGGUCCGUAGGCGGUUUGGUAAGUCAGUGGUGAAAGCCCAUCGCUUAACGAUGGAACGGCCAUUGAUACUGCCAGACUUGAAUUAUCGGGAAGUAACUAGAAUAUGUAGUGUAGCGGUGAAAUGCUUAGAUAUUACAUGGAAUACCAAUUGCGAAGGCAGGUUACUACCGGUUUAUUGACGCUGAUGGACGAAAGCGUGGGGAGCGAACAGG